Balaenoptera ricei (Rice's whale) is the source of this 1169-nucleotide long non-coding RNA. RefSeq lists it as uncharacterized. The transcript is spliced from 3 exons. The record is from RefSeq and is a predicted model, not a curated record. NCBI's taxonomy places the organism in Eukaryota, Metazoa, Chordata, Mammalia, Artiodactyla, Balaenopteridae.
CUAAUCGUUUUGUGGCUGCCCAAGACAAGCUUCAGAAGUAAGUUCCCUUGCUUGUUAAACAUGCUACCUACCCAUCUAGUGUGGUCUGUCCCUUUCUUCAGACUCUCUGUUGCAUGUGAGUAAUGGGGUGGGUUUCAGAGUACACCCAGGAAGCUGCCAAGAAGUUGGGACUCAAGACUGUGAUGUGUGGGUAGACCCUGGACUUUUCCAUUCACCCUUAGUAUUCGAAGUAUCAUGAUCUCACCCUCAAAUGGAGGAAAUGACUUAGGCAUGGAAUGAAGUGGGUUUCUGGAGAUGCUGAGGGAUAUGUGCAGGGUACACAAGGAAGCUAGGCUCUUCAUUUUGGAAAGAACACACCCAAACCUGAUCCUGAGGAACCCAGGGUCAUGGACUGCAGCCGAAAGCAAACUGUUUGAGUGUGUGAAAACUAGAGAGCCCUGAAACAAAACUGUACUGGCGAAAGGAUGGUGGCAGCUUCAGAAGUACCUGGUAGCCUCUGAACUUGCCUUUCUUUGAAUUUCCACUUGCUUCGUGGGAUUCCUUCAAGGUCAUAAAUUUUGAAUGAGGGUUUACCGUAGGAAGCUGUUGAAAUAAAUAGGGGUGAGGCAUCCUUGUACUUUUAUAAGUCCUGUGCUUCCAGGAACUGAACAAUUGGCCAGCAGUUUCUGUGGUGUCCAGGUGGCUCUCCCAACAUGGAUUCAUCAGCACAUCAAGCGAAGGGCUGGUGGUGUCUUGGAGUUUGAUACAGUUCAGGAAAUCCAAGAUCUCUAUGGUGCAGGAACGUGUCUGAAACCACAUCCACCAUGGCCAUCUGGCUCCAGUUGGAAUGCCUGAAACACAGUUUUAUAUCUUUUCAUAACAAGGAGCAAACGUCAGAUAUGGAGUACAUCACUUCAAGGUUUCAAAAGAGAAAGUUUAGCACGUACACAGCUAGGCAGCAUGACCUCACUGUCUGGAAAGAGAAACUCAUCCUCCAAGGAGAACCAGCCUGGGCAUCAUCAGAAGGGGGACAUUUGCCCUUAUCUUGAAAGCGACUCCCAAGAGGACUGUGAAGAAGGAGACUUGGUUUGAAGCCAUGUCAAAAGGAUGCUGUGCAAGCAGUGCUUCAAAAGAACCCUUACCCUGGUAUAACUACCAGAGAACAACUGGCCUGAGAACCUGGCAUUCUA